GGGGAUGUGGCUCAGCGGUAGCGCGCUCGUCUGGCAUGCGAGCGGCCCAGGUUCGAUCCUCAGCACCA
Ictidomys tridecemlineatus (thirteen-lined ground squirrel) is the source of this 68-nucleotide non-coding RNA. NCBI's taxonomy places the organism in Eukaryota, Metazoa, Chordata, Mammalia, Rodentia, Sciuridae. The record is from Rfam.